UUUCAGGAAAAAAAGAAAAAAGAAAAAGAAAAAGAAAAAGAAAAAGAAAAAGAAAAAGAAAAAGAAAAAGAAAAAGAAAAAGAAAAAGAAAAAGAAAAAGAAAAAGAAAAAGAAAAAGAAUCAGGUUGAUGAGCCAUGCAAAGAAACAUCAGACUUUUUCACAAUGGAGACCUGCCAGCCAACACAAGGGUAUCCAGCUGAUGAGAACAAAACAGAUGGAAUUCUGCAAGUGGAGGCUCAGCCAUGCCUUUGAAGGUGCUACCUUGAAAACAGCAGAACAGGUACAAUUCACAAGUAGCCAGAGAGUCAUGGAGUCCACCAAACACCAGCCAUGGUUCAAUGAGUCAGCAGCAAACACAAUGACGAGCAACUCAAAGUGGUGCUGAGCUCAGUUAGCAAACCUGACCUGCGGUUUCAUACAAACCCUUUUUCCUUCUUUUAGACUACAUGGGUUCAUGCCCCCUGAAUUUCACUCUCAGUUUCAGGUAUGAAUGAAUUCAAAAUCUUUAGGUAAAAUUCAGUGAGAAGAAACUACCUAGUUUUGACUGGUUUCAGUACAAACCCAAGCAAAACCACAGAAUUGCUCAUGGUUUCCAGACCAAGCCAUAUAUUUCACCUAGUUUUUUGGGGGUUUCAUUAUGAAAUUUUCAUGGAGUCAGAAAAAAAAUAAGCAUGCAGCUUAAUGUCCCAAAAGCACUUUGAACUGCUAUCUACACUUCUGUUUUCUGAGAAUAAAAUGAUUGAAAGUGCGUAUUUUUUCUAUCAGCCAACGUCAAGAUAACUGGUUGCAAAGAGAUGGUUCUCUGCACCGUGUGAACCCCCAGUUUGCUUUAAGUGCAAAUGGAUUGGCUUACUGACCCUCCUUAGCUCCUAGGUUUUGGACUUGCGUUUGGUCCUUGUGUUGGGCUUGUUAGUGUAGCUUCAGCCUUGAAUACAUGCCUGGAAGAGAAAAAUAAAGAAUUCUCCCUCUUAUGGUGGGAAAUCUAUGGAUGCUGCAGGCACAGCAUAGGCAAGUCUGCAUCUUUUAUGCUUUCUAGAGUAAAGAAUAUCCCUGGGUUUAAAGAGACUUGGAAAAUACUGAGACUCCAAUGGUGCUCUUUCUUAUUGCUUGACAGUGGUUUCUUCCAGCAGGGAAUAAAGCUUGGAUCAUUUUUAAGUCAGGCCAGGAAAUUCAUCAAGCAUUUGGUAGCUCCAGCUACUCAUACAUGUGUAAGUGUGGUGCAACAGGGGCUGUGCAAAUUAACAUAGUUUUAGUCUCAAACUCAUGAUAGUCAAACAGCAGACAAAAGCAAAUAGCAGUGAGGUGAAGACAUUGAGAGACAUAUAUUUUACUAUAGAAAAUUUGUCACAAGAUAUAAUGCAUUUUCUGUGAUACAUAAGCAAAUGUAUUUUUUUUUCUGGAUACAUUUCUGAAGGCUGUGUCUCACCUACUGAACCAAUUCUGUCAUCUAGAAUACAUCAGAACUAAUUCUCUUGCUGAAUUCCAUAGGAACUAGCUUAUUGAGCACAACUGAACCAGGAAACUCAACUAGACUGGAAGAUUUCAUUUUAAAAGACAUCUAGCUUUCAUUUCAAAGACUUCAAGCCAUGAUGGAGUUGCCAUUUCUUUCAAGGAGUCAUGCCAGUAUUUAAGUAAGCUCAGCCUCAUGGAUUUGUUUCUCUCUCUCCUAUGGGGUUGACAGAAGCAGACAGAUAGGAAGAUAGAAAAAAGGAAAGCCUUGGGGUUUGUUCACCUCAUCCAUCAUUAACCCUCACUUCCAGUGGUCCAAACUUUCCUUUUCCCAGUUAAAUUCACAUGGACCCAGCAUCAAAUUUUCUUCAUUCCUCAGUUUGAUUAAAUAAGUAGACCAAAUUGCUUAAAUUUCUCUAAGUAAAGGCGUCUUCUAGACCUUUGAUCAUAUACUCCCUCAUACCAUUAUAACUAUUUAGCAGGGAAAACUUGUAACAGAGGAUUUUUCUCAGAACAUGCAGGAUGGGAAACUGCAACUUCAAGUAGUGCUUCGAAUGAAAAAAAGAACACACAGCAAACAAUUGAAAGUUAGAGACACCCACUCAGAUGCAAAAAUAUCCCGUACCUCUGUGGCAAAUGUAAAUGUAAUUAGGCAGUUUCAGGAUGUGUCUUGACAAGCUGGUUUGUUUUGUUUUGUUUUGUUUUAGCUAUUUUCUGGAGGAGUUUGGCCUGUUGGUAAAACUCAUGCUGAAAGGAAAUCUGGUUUCACAUCCGGGCUGUGCCACAGCCUCGCUGUGUGACCAGUGCCAUGUCACUCCCUGUGUCCCCUUCCCCGGCGGCACAGGGAGGGAAGCAGCACACUUCCCCCAGGCCGACAUACGGCUUCACUGUCUGGUAACAUCCCUUGAAAGAGCAGAAUUGUUUUAGGUGAGAUGGUGGUGACUUUGCCUUAGUUUCAUAGGCCAAAAGCAGAAGGGAAGAAGGGUGGGAGGUGAGGGAAUGAACGCUCUGCAAGGAAAGGCAGCCGUGCACUCUCUGAACUUGUCUGCUUGUUCUGCAAGGAGACAGGUUUGAACCCAGCAGUGAGCAGGACGUGCUAAUGCCUUCGGGUCUAUAGCAGCGUGCCUGUCUCCGGCAUUUUCCACCCCAGAGCUCUUAUCUUUUUACAAGAAAGAUCUACAUAAUUUCUGCUGCUUUACAGACAGAAAAACUGAGGCAGCAGCUGGAGAAGUGACUAAUGCAUCAGGGACAUCACAUGUCUUUGUGAAGCCUUUGCCAGAUGCUUUUUGAAAACGAGAUCCUUGGGGCUUCUACUGCGAACUCAGCCAGCCUGCAGAAAUGGCACUGGGGCCAAGGCUCCACGUGCCCACGGGCAGUCUCUGCCGGCUGGGCAAGCCAAGGAAUGAGGAAAGGAGUCUGGUGAAGAUAAUGAGAAAGAGGAGGAGGUGGUGUAGGUUGUGAGAGAAGAUGAAACAGCUUUGACACAAGCAAAGGAAACUUCAAGUUUGGAAUUUCAAAAAAUCGACUCAACAUUUCUGUCGUAGCAGAUAAACAUCUAUCUGCUUUAUUACUGGGAAUCAUCUUUUUUUUUUUCUGAUUAUAAAUAGAAACAGAAUGCUACUUCGUUAUUUCCUCUGGGUUUUUUGGGGGUAGGUGCAUGUGGGUGGUAAACAGCUUGCAAAGAAGUUGUUGUUAUUAUUAUUAGUCAAUAUGAAGAACCAGAGGGUAGCGCCUGAGUCUGCGAUGCACCGGGUAUGGGAUAGCCACAAACCAAAUAUAGGUCAUUCACUCAAGCACAUCUAUGACGAAGGGGACAGAGCACAGGCGAACCACUAAUCUGUAGCUGUGAUUAUUCUUGCUUUGCGAUACUAUCUGUAUCGCUAUACACAUUUUUUUUGUGUGCCAAAAGGCAAGCAGAGACACAAAAGACCUCAAGGGCUUAAACUAACAAUGAGACAUAAAACCAUCAAUAAGCAGCUGAACAGAGCUAUCAGUGCACUUGUUUAAGAAAGCUUUUUAGCCUCAACAAAGCCCUGCUUGUGUCAUGGUAACAGCUAGCAGUGGAAACGUGCGGUAUUGGUUGCUGUACAAGCACAUUACAAGACACUUUUGUGAAUCUGCAGUCUAAACAGGCGAUACAAGGUCUGAUAGGAAGCACAAGCACUGAGCUCGGGUUAUCGUGUUAUAUCAGGCUGUUCGUCUUCCAGCCUGAAGUGCAUGAACUGCCCUUGCUUGCUUGGAGCAUCCCUGGUGACGGGCAGCAAAACCCAUCAGGGCUGGGGAUGAAGGACUGUCCCGUGACGCACCGGUCUGGCCUCGGGGAGAGGGAAAGGGCUUGCUUUCCUGGAGUACUCCUUUGACAUGACUGCAGGGGGUUCAAAGGAGGGCCAUGAAGAUGAUGAAAGGGCUGUAGUACCUGGCCUGUGAGAAAAAGACUGAAGGAGUUGGGUCUUUCCACUCCAGAGAAAAGAAGGCUCAGGGUGGGGACCUCACCACAAUAUUCCAGUACUUAAAGGGUGGCUAGAAAGAGGUCGGAAGCUCUCCCUUCACAAGGCCCCACAUGGAGAAGACAAGGGGCAACGAAUACAAGUUGCACUGGAACAGAUCUUGUCUUGAUAUAAGAAAUUUUCUAUAGUGAGACCAACAGGAAAAACCUCCACAGGGAUGUGGCAGAAUCCCAGUCACUGGAGGUUUUCAAGAUGUGGUUGGGCAGGGUGCUAGAUAAGCUCACCUCCUCUCCCUUUCCCACAAAGGGCAGGACCUGAUGAUCUUUCAAGGGCCCUUCCAAACUGGGCUCUUCAAUGAUUCUGUGACAAUGGGGGAUUCACCACUGGCUCACUGCAUCCAUGACGUUUAAUAUUUUCCAGUGCUCCUUUAUACUUCCCCUCUUAGGGAUGAUGGCAAAGCCCAGAAUCUGUUGCAUCCUCUAAAGCUCUGUGCUGUCCCCUCUGCCCAGUCCCCUUCUACCCAUCCCACUCCACCAGGGCUGAGACAGCAGCGACAGCAUCAGCAGACAUCUGCAGUGGGACUUAUCUGCAUAUUGCACUCAACUUUGUAAUUAAUAGAGAGAAAUAGGCACUUUUCAGAAACUUUUGCCUACCUCAUGCUAUGUACCUGGUUGGGUGCUUCGUACAGAAGCUGCUGGCUUUCUCCCGGGACUCAGCUGCUGUCGUUUUUGCUAGGGGCGCUCCAUCCCUGACACACUGGUAUGUCUGGACAGAGAGCCCAGCUGUGUGGAGGAGCACCCACCUGAAGUCCCAGCCCAUGGGAAAGAAUAAGGACUGCCUAAAAGCAAGGUGUGCUCCCCAGCAUGAAUCCUGCAGGGCAGCGAGACCAGAAGGAGAGCAUCCCCCAGCAGUGGCUGCUGGUGACACCCAGGGGACAACGAGUCUGUGCCUGUGUCUGCACUUGGAGGAGGAGGUGCAAAAGGGGACAUUCAGUGGAAACUAUUACAAUGGCAUUGUAGGAAAGAGCCUUGCACCCUCUGUCUGCGUGCUGAGCUCAUCCUGAUCCCUGUGCCUGCAGGAGGAGAGCACCAAGGAGGAGAGGAGAUGCUUGCAUGGUUAAAGCAAGGGGAUGGCAGUCGAGGAAGGAGGGUGAUGCUUCUGGCUCUGGCAUUUGUAUGCAUCGAACCCAGCAUUUACUGCCUCGCUGCUUGGGUUUUGACACAGAUAAAAUGGAAAUCCCUGUUUGGAGCUGUGGGGCUACUAUCCCUUAGCACAUCUGAGGGGUUCCAGUAGGAAGUGCUUUCCAUCAGGUUUCUCUUUGAGAAGAAAAAAUUAACUUAAGA
This is a long non-coding RNA of Cygnus olor (mute swan), 5240 nucleotides long. RefSeq lists it as uncharacterized. The transcript has 4 exons. The record is from RefSeq and is a predicted model, not a curated record. NCBI's taxonomy places the organism in Eukaryota, Metazoa, Chordata, Aves, Anseriformes, Anatidae.